Molecule: long non-coding RNA, 166 nt
Organism: Ornithorhynchus anatinus (platypus)
Lineage: Eukaryota; Metazoa; Chordata; Mammalia; Monotremata; Ornithorhynchidae
Exons: 3
Source: RefSeq, a predicted model, not a curated record
UUUCAGAGGAAGAGACAGAAGUACUUUCAAACGCUUCAUUUAAUACUCAAGGAGGAUCCUCCCACUGAAUCGUAUGCUCCUUAAGCAGGGCAUUUGACAAGGGGAUAAGACACCCACAGACACGGGAAGGAAUAUGAAGGCUUCACCACAAGGUAUGGCUUAGCGG